Molecule: long non-coding RNA, 385 nt
Organism: Peromyscus leucopus (white-footed mouse)
Lineage: Eukaryota; Metazoa; Chordata; Mammalia; Rodentia; Cricetidae
Exons: 3
Source: RefSeq, a predicted model, not a curated record
GCCCGCUGCGGGUGUGAUCACGUCGUGAGCCAUCUUUGUCACCCAUCCUUAGGAGUGAGUGACAAGAGCAGCCAGUCUCAGGGCUCGCCUGCUCCAAGCGGCGUCGUGGCAAUUCGCACACUGCCGUGCGAAAGGAGAGGAGAUGCACCGUGCAAGGGAAUAGGACUGGAGCAGAGGCAGAAACAUAUCCUUGAAAAUUGAUAGCAGGAAAAGAUGUUUACAGAUGAACACAGGGGCAAAGACUCUAAUGGCCGAAUACCUGCUGUGAGAAAUACUCAUUGUUUAGCUUGAUGGAUGAUCCCAGAUAGAAGCACAGCAAUCAUCAGAAAGGAUAAAUUUACAGUAAAAGAAUGUUUACCAAGCAAACAGAAGAAAACAAAAUAUC